RNAcentral lists this ribosomal RNA (256 nucleotides) under uncultured bacterium. RNAcentral's name for it is "partial 16S ribosomal RNA". It matches the Rfam family "Bacterial small subunit ribosomal RNA", at positions 524 to 776 of the family's 1533-position model. The record is from RNAcentral.
UACGUAGGGUGCGAGCGUUGUCCGGAAUUAUUGGGCGUAAAGAGCUUGUAGGCGGUUUGUCGCGUCUGCUGUGAAAAUCCGGGGCUCAACCCCGGACUUGCAGUGGGGUACGGGCAGACUAGAGUGUGGUAGGGGAGACUGGAAUUCCUGGUGUAGCGGUGAAAUGCGCAGAUAUCAGGAGGAACACCGAUGGCGAAGGCAGAUCUCUGGGCCGUAACUGACGCUGGAGGAAGCGAAAGCGUGGGGAGCGAACAGG